This 343-nucleotide unclassified non-coding RNA is filed under the name soil metagenome. RNAcentral's name for it is "partial contains 5.8S ribosomal RNA, internal transcribed spacer 2, and large subunit ribosomal RNA". The stretch from base 1 to 120 matches the Rfam family "5.8S ribosomal RNA", at positions 35 to 154 of the family's 154-position model. The record is from RNAcentral.
GAUGAAGAACGCAGCGAAAUGCGAUAAGUAAUGUGAAUUGCAGAAUUCAGUGAAUCAUCGAAUCUUUGAACGCACAUUGCGCCCGCUAGUAUUCUGGCGGGCAUGCCUGUCCGAGCGUCAUUUCAACCCUCAAGCCCCCGGGCUUGGUGUUGGGGAUCGGCGAGCCUCCGCGCCCGCCGUCCCCUAAAUCUAGUGGCGGUCUCGCUGUAGCUUCCUCUGCGUAGUAGCACACCUCGCACUGGGAAACAGCGCGGCCACGCCGUUAAACCCCCAACUUCUGAACGUUUGACCUCGGAUCAGGUAGGAAUACCCGCUGAACUUUAGCAUAUCAAUAAGCGGAGGA